RNAcentral lists this ribosomal RNA (433 nucleotides) under uncultured bacterium. Its description in RNAcentral is "partial 16S ribosomal RNA". It matches the Rfam family "Bacterial small subunit ribosomal RNA", at positions 29 to 507 of the family's 1533-position model. The record is from RNAcentral.
AACGAACGCUGGCGGCAUGCCUAACACAUGCAAGUCGAACGAGACCUUCGGGUCUAGUGGCGCACGGGUGCGUAACGCGUGGGAACCUGCCCUUAGGUUCGGAAUAACUCCCAGAAAGGGGUGCUAAUACCGGAUAAUGUCUUCGGCCCAAAGAUUUAUCGCCUUUGGAUGGGCCCGCGUUGGAUUAGCUAGUUGGUAGGGUAAAAGCCUACCAAGGCGACGAUCCAUAGCUGGUCUGAGAGGAUGAUCAGCCACACUGGGACUGAGACACGGCCCAGACUCCUACGGGAGGCAGCAGUGGGGAAUAUUGGACAAUGGGCGAAAGCCUGAUCCAGCAAUGCCGCGUGAGUUAUGAAGGCAUUAGGGUUGUAAAGCGCUUGUACCCGGGAUGAUAAUGACAGUACCGGGAGAAUAAGCUCCGGCUAACUCCGUG